UCCUCAUCAUAAGCCUGCAAGAAUCCAGAAAGGUGGAUGCUUCUGUCACCAGUCACGGAGAACUCAACCGCCUCGUCGUUAUCGUCAAACUCAAGAUUCAGAGGGCAACAUUCGGAUUUGUUAGGCAACAACGAACACAAGUAAACAGGUGCGUUUCCUCCUAUGGAGCAUUGGAUCACACUCUUCUCUUUGCCUAAACCAGCACCUAGAGUUGCCUGUAUCGUAGCAAUUACAGUUAUAAACUAGUCUCAACGAGCUAUACACACAAUGCUAUAUACCUGGGUGAGGUGUAGCGUCCCUUGCUCGUUUUCGGGAUUGUAAGCUUGAGGCUUCCCAGGCUUCACUUCGAUUCCUGCGAAAAGUUGAGAUUAAACACACAAUCAGAACCAAUCAAAGAAACGGCGAGACUAACCCCAGAACACCAUUUUGAGCUCAAAGUCGUUGGAAUUGAGACGGCUGAGUUGUUUGAGAGGAAGAAGAGAGUAAAACCCUAGAGAAGGAGGGGGAGAGGGUUUUUGCAGACUCUUCUUUAUUUAUGAGAGGAUGAGAUCUCGGUUAGUCGAGAAAAUUCGUAACCGUUCUCGGUUAUUGGGUUGGGCCUUCGUGGGCUUCAGUAGAGGCCCAAAUGAGGUGUCAGACUAAAAUUUAUUGGUUUCCUACUCCAACCAGCCGAUGCGAUCGCAGAAGAAGAAACACACAGAUUAUAUUAUUAUAUAAUCAUUUCAUUAAAUUAAAUUUCGAAAAUUUGUUAUCCAUCAUCACUCACUCUUCUGAGAAUCUCUCAAUCUCUGAGCUCGCUUGACGACAAGCAUACUAAGGCAAAAAGAAAGUCCUCCUUGAGUUUUCAAGGUUUAUAGAUGAUUCUCUUUGUUUCGUGAAUUAGUUAGUCUUUGUUUUGAUUCCCUGAUGGUGAAUACGUAAUGCAAUAUACUGAAUCUGAGCUGGUUCCACAGGUUUCCAGAUCCUGAAGAAGGCGAAAUCAUUUCGAAGAAUGUUGUUGAUAGUGGCUUAUCACUUAUAAGCUCUGUUUCUUCCAUGGCUUUGGGUUCUCAUGAAGUUUCCAUUUUGGUUGCUGGAUUUCCUCGGAAGGUGUCUACAGUUGCGAUUGCUAUAGGGGGAUUGGUAUCUUUCUUUGUUUUCGGAUUGGUGCUUGAUCCAAUCAGUUCCUCAGUUAGUGGGGUGUUUUAUGGCAAUGCGAAUCCUCAACAAGUUGAGAUCCCUUCGUCUUUGAGCAACAAUACCGUACAAGGCCUUUACACGAGUACCAAUGACAUCUAUACGUCAGAUAAGAACCUGACUUCGACUUCUCAAUCUAGCUCAGGCUCUCCCGAUCUUGUUAGUUCAGAUAUAUCACCGCCAGAUUCGGAGAAACCUUUGAUGCAGCAAGAGAAAGGGGAUACAGUGUCUUCUUUGGAUACGAGUACGACUGGUGUUGGAUCAGGUGAAGGUGAAACCAAUGUUUCCAAGGCUGGAGACACUUCAAUUGUAUCAUCUCCUUCACAUGAUGCCUCUGAAACUACUUCAGCAGAAGAAACAGGUACUGUUUCCAUUUACCUAGCUUGUGUUUUUUUUUUGGGGAAAUCUUUGAAUUAUGGUAGGCUUAGUUUUUAAUAAACUAGUAUGCGAAUGGUAUUCCUUGAGUUAUGGACUUCUAUGGAACAUUGCUUAAGCGUCUGAUAAGCUUAUUAAGGAGGUCGUUAGCCUGUACGUCUACUGUAUAUAGCCUUAGGAUUGACUAUAGAAGAUUAGACUUGUUUCGAGUUGGUAAGAGAGCACUUAUCGCUUUGUCUUAUCAUCUGUGGCGGGCUUCUCCUCAUCUUCUAUCUCCUCAAUUACAACUAGCAAAAAUACAAUCCAAUUAGUUUCACCAUUACAAGAAAAAAAAACAAAAAUCAAGCAACAUCACUUUAUCAAUAUCUUUUUGAAAUCAUGCAGGUAUAAGACAAGAACAACACUUUAAACAUACUUCAAUAGAAACAGUACCUCCACUGUUUGGAACAGAAGAUUGCCGAUACAUAUCAAGAUUGUGAUCAAUGAAAUCCUCAAAUUCAUCCAUAUGAUCCUCAUCCUCUUCACUAUCAUACUCAGACUCUCCAGACUCAGUGUCACCAAUAUCAAUACCAUCUCUAACAAACGUCGCAACGAAAACUUUAAAAGACUAUUAAGCAGAUAAAUUACACAAACCAAAAAAAAACAAGAAAGGAUACGAAUCAUCUUCAUAAUCAUCCUCCCCACACUCCUCCUCCUCCUCAUCAUAAGCCUGCAAGAAUCCAGAAAGGUGGAUGCUUCUGUCACCAGUCACGGAGAACUCAACCGCCUCGUCGUUAUCGUCAAACUCAAGAUUCAGAGGGCAACAUUCGGAUUUGUUAGGCAACAACGAACACAAGUAAACAGGUGCGUUUCCUCCUAUGGAGCAUUGGAUCACACUCUUCUCUUUGCCUAAACCAGCACCUAGAGUUGCCU
This 2463-nucleotide long non-coding RNA is filed under the name Brassica napus (rape). RNAcentral describes it as "long non-coding RNA (BNAP_LNC002998)". Lineage: Eukaryota; Viridiplantae; Streptophyta; Magnoliopsida; Brassicales; Brassicaceae. The record is from RNAcentral.